UCCAGGAAAUAGAGAAAGGGCAAUAUCCCUUUCUAGGCUGAGCAUUUAGUGACCUGCCUCUUCUGUUUGGAACCCAACUCCCAGCAGGACACUAAGGUACCGGGAAUCAAACUCAUGACGUCGCGCUUGCCAGGAAAUAACCUGUAAUGAUGUGUUACAUCCCAAAAAAACUCUUGUAAGUUUUAUACGUUUUUCAUACAUCUCCAGAACGCAGUGAUAUUCUUUAACAAUACAAAACUGACAAAACUGAGACAUUUAGACUAAAGAAAGAAGUGCCAAAAAAUCUACAAAAGAAAAUCUGGAAAGGGGAGAAAUGGUAGCAAAUCAGAGAGGAAGUCUGUAUCAUGAAGUGGAAAGACAAAAAAUGUCUCC
Chinchilla lanigera (long-tailed chinchilla) is the source of this 372-nucleotide long non-coding RNA. RefSeq lists it as uncharacterized. Lineage: Eukaryota; Metazoa; Chordata; Mammalia; Rodentia; Chinchillidae. The record is from RefSeq and is a predicted model, not a curated record. The transcript has 3 exons.